GCACCCGUGGUCUAGCGGAUCGGGCCUCGGCCUUCUAAGCCGAAGACGCUGGUUCGAAUCCAGCCGGGUGUUCCA
This 75-nucleotide transfer RNA is filed under the name Acidobacteriota bacterium. RNAcentral's name for it is "Acidobacteria bacterium tRNA-Arg". It matches the Rfam family "tRNA". From Rfam's summary of the family: Transfer RNA (tRNA) molecules are approximately 80 nucleotides in length. Their secondary structure includes four short double-helical elements and three loops (D, anti-codon, and T loops). Further hydrogen bonds mediate the characteristic L-shaped molecular structure. tRNAs have two regions of fundamental functional importance: the anti-codon, which is responsible for specific mRNA codon recognition, and the 3' end, to which the tRNAs corresponding amino acid is attached (by aminoacyl-tRNA synthetases). tRNAs cope with the degeneracy of the genetic code in two manners: having more than one tRNA (with a specific anti-codon) for a particular amino acid; and 'wobble' base-pairing, i.e. permitting non-standard base-pairing at the 3rd anti-codon position. The record is from RNAcentral. RNAcentral also lists the same sequence under 1 other name. Lineage: Bacteria; Pseudomonadati; Acidobacteriota.